This 1966-nucleotide ribosomal RNA is filed under the name human gut metagenome. RNAcentral's name for it is "bacterial LSU rRNA". It matches the Rfam family "Bacterial large subunit ribosomal RNA", at positions 3 to 2011 of the family's 2925-position model. The record is from RNAcentral.
UUAAGCUAUAAAGAGCACAGGGUGGAUGCCUAGGCACUGAGAGCCGAUGAAGGACGUGAUAAGCUGCGAAAAGCCACGGGGAGGAGCAAAUAUCCUUUGAGCCGUGGAUAUCCGAAUGGGGGAACCCACUUAAGUAAACCUUAAGUACUGACAAGCCAAUACAUAACUUGCCAGAGGGAACCCGGGGAACUGAAACAUCUAAGUACCCGGAGGAAGAGAAAGAAACAUCGAUUUCCUUAGUAGCGGCGAGCGAAAGGGAAAGAGCCCAAACCGAGAGAUUUAUCUUUCGGGGUUAGGACUGCAUAAUUGAUCUGCGAUUGAUAGGAGAAUGGUCUGGGAAGUCCAGCAGGAAAGCGUGAAAGCCGCGUAUCCGAAAUUGAAAGCAGCAAGGCAGUAUCCAGAGUACCACGAGACACGAGGAACCUUGUGGGAAUGAGCGGAGACCACUCCGUAAGGCUAAAUACUACUCAGUGACCGAUAGCGCAUAGUACUGUGAAGGAAAGGUGAAAAGGACCCCGGGAGGGGAGUGAAAGAGAACCUGAAACCCUGUGUUUACAAGCUGUCGGAGCACGUUAGUGCGACGGCGUACUUUUUGUAGAACGGUCCGGCGAGUUAUGAUACGCGGUAAGGUUAAGGACUUAAGGUCCGGAGCCGAAGCGAAAGCGAGUGUUAAGAGCACGAGGAAUCACGUAUCAUAGACCCGAAACCGGGUGAUCUAUCCAUGUCCAGGAUGAAGCUGCCGUAAGAGGUAGUGGAGGUCCGAACACACAUCCGUUGAAAAGGGUGGUGAUGAGGUGUGGAUAGGGGAGAAAUUCCAAUCGAACCCGGAGAUAGCUGGUUCUCCUCGAAAUAGCUUUAGGGCUAGCCUCGAUACAGAUUUGCGGAGGUAGAGCACUGAAUUUCCUAGGGGGCGUCAAAGCCUACCGAAGAAUAUCAAACUGCGAAUGGCGGACAGAUGAUGCUGGGGAGUCAGACUGCACGAGAUAAGUUGGGUGGUCAAAAGGGAAAGAGCCCAGACCUACAGCUAAGGUCCCAAAGUGCGUGUUAAGUGGAAAAGGAUGUGGGAUUUCGAAGACAACUAGGAUGUUGGCUCAGAAGCAGCCACACAUUAAAAGAGUGCGUAAUAGCUCACUAGUCGAGAGGUCCUGCGCCGAAAAUGUCCGGGGCUGAAACACGACACCGAAGCUUAGGAACAGAAAUGUUGGUAGAGGAGCAUUGUUAGCGGAACGAAGCCAUACCGGAAGGAGUGGUGGACUGCUAAGAAGAGAGAAUGCCGGAAUGAGUAGCGAGAUUGAAGUGAGAAUCUUCAAGGCCGAAUAUCUAAGGUUUCCAGGGUAAAGCUGAUCUGCCCUGGGUAAGUCGGGACCUAAGGCGAGGUCGAAAGACGUAGCCGAUGGACAACAGGUUGAAAUUCCUGUACUGCGAUAUAUCAGAAAUGUGGGGACACAGAAGGAAAGUGUGAGCCGGGAAAGGAAAGACCGGUGCAAGCACAGGAGGAGGGAUACAGGCAAAUCCGUAUUUCAAUCCAAUGGUGUUACGCGGAGCGAACAAAAGUAGCGAAGCACACAGACCAUCUGUCGAGAAAAGCCGCUAUUGUGUAUACCGUACCCGUACCGUAAACCGACACAGGUGGAUGAGGAGAGAAUCCUAAGGCCGGCGGGAGAAGCAUUGUUAAGGAACUCGGCAAAAUGACCCCGUAACUUCGGGAGAAGGGGUGCUCACGCAAGUGAGCCGCAGAGAACUGGCCCAAGCAACUGUUUAGCAAAAACACAGGUCUAUGCAAAACCGAAAGGUGAGGUAUAUGGGCUGACGCCUGCCCGGUGCUGGAAGGUUAAGAGGAGAGGUUAGCGCAAGCGAAGCUUUGAAUUUAAGCCCCAGUAAACGGCGGCCGUAACUAUAACGGUCCUAAGGUAGCGAAAUUCCUUGUCGGGUAAGUUCCGACCCGCACGAAAGGCGUAAUGAUUUG